This 214-nucleotide ribosomal RNA is filed under the name Acartia tonsa. RNAcentral describes it as "partial large subunit ribosomal RNA". Lineage: Eukaryota; Metazoa; Arthropoda; Copepoda; Calanoida; Acartiidae. The record is from RNAcentral.
UUCCGGUUUGAACUCAGAUCAUGUGCGGGAUAGAGGUCGAACAGACCUUGUGAAAAUAGCUUCUGCACUAUUUGUAGCCGCAAUUCAACAUCGAGGUCGCAAACAAUUAUUUUAAUAAGGGCUUAAAUAAUUAUAACGCUGUUAUCCCUAGAGUACCUUAUUCGUCUAAUUUAAUAAAGAUCAUUGUUAAUAUAAAUAGUCCUAUUUAAAUUUA